AGUGAACGCUGGCGGUAGGCCUAACACAUGCAAGUCGAACGGCAGCACAGUAAGAGCUUGCUCUUACGGGUGGCGAGUGGCGGACGGGUGAGGAAUACAUCGGAAUCUACUUUUUCGUGGGGGAUAACGUAGGGAAACUUACGCUAAUACCGCAUACGACCUACGGGUGAAAGCAGGGGAUCUUCGGACCUUGCGCGAUUGAAUGAGCCGAUGUCGGAUUAGCUAGUUGGCGGGGUAAAGGCCCACCAAGGCGACGAUCCGUAGCUGGUCUGAGAGGAUGAUCAGCCACACUGGAACUGGGACACGGUCCAGGCUCCUACGGGAGGCAGCAGUGGGGAAUAUUGGACAGUGGGCGCAAGCCUGAUCCAGCCAUACCGCGUGGGUGAAGGAGGCCUUCGGGUUGUAAAGCCCUUUUGUUGGGAAAGAAAAGCAGCAGGUUAAUACCCCGCUGUUCUGACGGUACCCAAAGAAUAAGCACCGGCUAACUUCGUG
RNAcentral lists this ribosomal RNA (492 nucleotides) under uncultured bacterium. RNAcentral's name for it is "partial 16S ribosomal RNA". It matches the Rfam family "Bacterial small subunit ribosomal RNA", at positions 29 to 507 of the family's 1533-position model. The record is from RNAcentral.